CCCUAACCCAAGUCUAACCCCAGCCCCAAGUCUAACCCCAACCUCAAGUCUCACCCAACGUCUCAGAGUCUAGCUUACCUUCACACCUACCUGUUGCACUUAGCUUCAAGUGGGAUCUGUGUCCUGGUAAUGUUGAAUUAAAGCACACCACUGAAUUAGAUUGCAUAAGUAUUUGUUUAUUACAGCACUGUUUCCUCAAGACAUGACUCGUACAAUUGUAUGCACACUACAGCAAUGCCUACAUGUUGACAAACAAAACAUGAAUACACGUACUCCAUACAAUUGCAAGACACCGUUUACAGGCGCAGCACCCACCUACUCCAUACAAUUCCAAGACACCGUUUACAGGCGCAGCACCCGCGUACUCCAUACAUUUUAAGGCAUGGUUUACAUAUAACGCAUAUGUCAGACUCACAAGACAAAGGUCACAAAGCCUCCAUAUCCAAUAAAUAACAUUACAUUUACACUAAUAUUGUGUACUGCAACCCACCUCAAGAGCAGAGCAGAUCUCAGCCCACCUGAAGUAAAUGCAAGCCUCAGACAGGCCGGGAAGGAGAGCAAAUGGGCUCCGUUGGUUAUGGGGUUGGGUUAGCCCUGCGGUACAAACAAACAUAGCAAAGCUAACCCAACCCCGUAAGCAAGGCAAAGCUAAAGCCAAUUUGGCUGAGAUCAAUUGAUUGCAAAGCUAAAGCCAAUUUGGGCAAGAUCAAUUGACUGCACAUGCCAAAAUCGGCGCAACUCUCAGAAUGGCCGCGCAAAGGGGCGUGAGUCUCAGACUGGCCGGGAAGGAGCGCAAAUGGGCUCCGAAGGCCUCGGGCGUUGGUUACGGGGUUGGGUUAGCCCUGCGGUACAAACAAACAAAGCAAAGCUAACCCAACCCCGUAAGCAAGGCAAAGCUAAAGCCAAUUUGGCUGAGAUCAAUUGAUUGCAAAGCUAAAGCCAAUUUGGGCAAGAUCAAUUGACUGCACAUGCCAAAAUCGGCAGCAACUCUCAGAAUGGCCUGUGCAAAGGGGCAUGAGUCUCAGACUGGCCGGGAAGGAGCGCAAAUGGGCUCCGAAGGCCUCGGGCGUUGGUUACGGGGUUGGGUUAGCCCUGCGGUACAAACAAACAAAGCAAAGCUAACCCAACCCCGUAAGCAAGGCAAAGCUAAAGCCAAUUUGGCUGAGAUCAAUUGAUUGCAAAGCUAAAGCCAAUUUGGGCAAGAUCAAUUGACUGCACAUGCCAAAAUCGGCGCAACUCUCAGAAUGGCCGCGCAAAGGGGCGCGAGUCUCAGACUGGCCGGGAAGGAGCGCAAAUGGGCUCCGAAGGCCUCGGGCGUUGGUUACGGGGUUGGGUUAGCCCUGCGGUACAAACAAACAAAGCAAAGCUAACCCAACCCCGUAAGCAAGGCAAAGCUAAAGCCAAUUUGGCUGAGAUCAAUUGAUUGCAAAGCUAAAGCCAAUUUGGGCAAGAUCAAUUGACUGCACAUGCCAAAAUCGGCGCAACUCUCAGAAUGGCCGCGCAAAGGGGCGCGAGUCUCAGACUGGCCGGGAAGGAGCGCAAAUGGGCUCCAAAGGCCUCGGGCGUUGGUUACGGGGUUGGGUUAGCCCUGCGGUACAAACAAACAAAGCAAAGCUAACCCAACCCCGUAAGCAAGGCAAAGCUAAAGCCAACUUAGUUGCAAUGCAUUAACUGCAAAGCUAAAGCCAAUUUGGUUGAGAUAAAUUAUUUGUAAAGCUAAAGCCAAUUGGGUUGAUGCAAAAUGACUGCACGCGCUGAAAUCAGCGUGACUCUCAGCAUGGCCGUGAGUCUCAAACAGACUGGAUGGAGUGCGAAUGGUCCCUGUCCAGCUACAGGAUGUCAGUUACGGGAUUAGGGUCAGCCACGCUAGCAAACUCAAAGCGAAGGUGACCCAACCCCAUGAGUGAGGCAAACCCUUUGAUGUGCUAUCCCUCGAAAUUCUCUCAAAGAUUGCAGCCGGCUACUUGGACGGGUACGUUGCUUGCUAGAUGAAGAACUAGCUGAACCGCCUGGCCUAAUGAGUGCUGCUCCGAUCGUGUUAAAUGCAGCUGGUAUGCCAUCCUGAGUGCUCUUCAGGCCUGUUCUGUCCAAUAUCUUCAUUGAAGACCUGCCUGAUGGCAUGGAGUGCACCUUUGGUAAGUUUGCUGAGGGCGUUGCAUCAGAUUAGCACUAUGUUUGGAGUUCAGAGCUCAUUAGGAGUUGGGGUGAAGGUAUAAGGGUUAGGUUUAUUAGGGUUAUGCUCAAAGUGACUGUUAGGGAAGGCCAAGGCAAAGGCAACAACACCCAAGGGAACACCAAAACCGAGGGCAAAGGCAUAGACAACAACCAAGGGAAGGCAACGUCAAAGGCACAGUGAAAGCAAAGGUAUGGAGAACACCAAAGAGAAGACCUCCUCAGAGGGCAGGCCCAAAGAGAGGGCCUCAGAGAACAAAACAGAGACCAAAGAGAACACCGUGGCAAGGCCAAAAUGGAGGGCGAGGUCCAUGAGAACGCUGCAGGGAAGGCCGAUGCAGGAGGCCAAGGGCAAUGGCCAAAGAGAAUGCAGCACAGAAGGCCAAAACCAAAGGCCAAAGAGAACGCUGUAGGGAAUGCCAAAACAAGAAGGCCAAAGGCAAAGGCCAAACAGAACGCAACAAGGAAUGCCAAAACCAAAGGCCAAAGAGAUCGUCGCAGAGAAUGCCACAACAGGGGGCUGAAAGGAGCACAGGCAAAGAAGGCCAAGGGCAAAGGUCAAAGAGAACAUGGAAGGGAACGCCAAAGAGAAUGUGGCAAAGGCGGUCAAACGCGAUGGCCAGGAGAACGUGGCAUGGAUGGCAAAAACCUAAGGCCAAAUAGAACACUGCAUGGAACACCAGAAGUGAUGGCCAAAGAGAACGCUGCAGGGAACGCCAAAACCUGAGGCCAAAAAGAAUGCCGCAAAGAAGGCCAAGGGCAAUGGCCAAGAGAACAUGACAAGGAAUGCAAAAACAAGAGGACAAGAGAAUGUAGUAGGGAACGCCAAGGGCAAAGGGAAGGAGAACACCGCCGUGAAAGGCCAGAGCCAAGGAGAACGUGCAAAGAAUAGGACGGGCAGCCUUCGGGGAACCCUGCAGUGCAGAAAGGAGCUCUGGGAACCCUACCUUGUGUCUCACUCAGUAAGGGGUAAACACUGGUGGGUGUGCAUUGUCCUUACCUGCUGGGCAGACAAUUACCAGUCAGCAAAGUGGAGUUCCAGGGCAUCCCGGGAAAUGCAGCUUUCGGUUCCUGGCUGUUCCCGUGAAGACCUGCACAUCUCUCCGUGCAGUCCUUACAGCACUCGGGAGUGCUGCAGCUCUCUGCUGCCACCUGUUGGACACAAUGCAGGAAUGAAGGCGCUGCCCCGCAUAUGUAGGGCUGCACCCUGCGUGCAUUGCUCUAUAGGAUGACACAAGGGAGUAUUAGGAAUAUAAUGAAUGCUAUGCAUAGGUUUGAAGUUACAAUUAGCUUAACAAUUGUUUUCCACACUAUGAUUAGGAUUAAGGGUACUGUGACAGAAAACAAGCGGCAUUAUUUUUAUUGCAGCAUUUAGGUUAAGAGACAUUUUUAAUAUUGGCUUAAUAGUUAGGCUUACAUAUACACUGUGGGUUAACAUAAUUAUCAUUAGAGCUCACAUUAAGCUACGGGUUCAGGUCAAGAUUAACAUUCACGCUGCCUCCCAGCCAAUCCCAGAGAGCCAAAGAAAAAAGGCAAGCUGAACUCGCACCGAAAGCCAAGGUAAAGGCAAAGCAAACAGCCAAGGCGAAGGGAAGGGCAAAAGCAAGGAGAGCACCCAACGGAAAGCCAAGGUGAGGGUGAGGAGACAGCAGCAGGAAAAACCAAGGGCAAAGGCCAAGAGAACACAGCAAAAAAUGCCAAAACAGAAGGCCGAGGGAACACAUGCAUGGAAUGCUCAGGUCAGGGCAAGGGCUAAGAGAACGUGGCAGGAAGUGCCAAAACAGGAGGCCAAAGAGAACACGGCAAAGAAGGCCAAGGCAGAAGGCUGAGAGAAGGUGGCUGGGAACACCAGAACAUGAUGCCAAAGAGAACGCUGCAGGAAACGCCCAAACAGGAGGGCAAGAGAACACUGCAGGGAACGCCAAAACUGAAUGCUGAAGAGAACGUGGCAGAAGAAAAAGAAGUUCAAUAGCCAAGAGAAUGUGGCAUGGAACGCAAAAACAGGAGGGCAAGGGAAUGCCUAGGUAAGGGCCAAGAGAAUGUGGAAGGAAAUGCCAAGGAAAUGGCCAAGAGAACAUGACAAGAAACGCCAAAACAGAAGGGCAAGAGAGCACUGCAGGGAACGCCAAAACUGAAUGUUGAAGUGAAUGUGGCCAAGAAAGUCAAGGGCAAUGGCCAAGAGAACAUGACAAGGAAUGCAAACAAGAGGACAAGAGAAUGUAGUAGGGAACGCCAAGGGCAAAGGGAAGGAGAACACCGCCGUGAAAGGCCAGAGCCAAGGAGAACGUGCAAAGAAUAGGACGGGCAGCCUUCGGGGAACCCUGAAGUGCAGAAAGGAGCUCUGGGAACCCUACCUUGUGUCUCACUCAGUAAGGGGUAAACACUGGUGGGUGUGCAUUGUCCUUACCUGCUGGGCAGACAAUUACCAGUCAGCAAAGUGGAGUUCCAGGGCAUCCCAGGAAAUGCAGCUUUCGGUUCCUGGCUGUUCCCGUGAAGACCUGCACAUCUCUCCGUGCAGUCCUUACAGCACUCGGGAGCGCUGCAGCUCUCUGCUGCCACCUGUUGGACACAAUGCAGGAAUGAAGGCGCUGCCCCGCAUAUGUAGGGCUGCACCCUGCGUGCAUUGCUCUAUAGAAUGACGCAAGGGACUAUUAGGGAUAUAAUUAAUGCUGUUUAUAAGUUACUUAAUGGGGGUCAGGGGAUGGGAGGAAAAGGUGUGGGGGUUUGGGUAUCAUACAGAUUAGGAAACAAAUAGCAUCUCCUGACAAUUGGGAUGAGAUAUCUGGAGAUCCUGACUGUAGUCAUCCAGAAGAGGACAACCCUUUCUUUUUUAUUAACACAAACCCAGAUCUGCUGGUGAAACAGAAAUGACCGUAAGACCCUGGGGAAGUCAGCAUAGUCGUGAUGUUCCAUUAGCUGCUCCACAGGCCUCACACCACCGAUUAGAGGAGUCCCAACAAUCCUUAAAACCCACUGAGCUGCAAACUGAGAUCAGAAGAGAGGACAUAAUUUAAAACAUGAUAAUGAUGCCCAGAAUGCCCUUCAACAACUCUGCGUGGGUGCAAUUAACACAUGGCACUGUGAAUUACAGCCAUAAGAUGGGAUGAUGGGGGAGAAGACAAACCACAUUUGGAGCCGAGGUUGGAGAUCAUGAGGUGAAAACCAUGAAAGAGGAAACAGCGACUCAAUCAGAAAGAAAUGGGCUUAAAAAGGGCUGCAAACAGGAUCUGCAGAAUGCAGAACCCCUGAACGGAAUAGGGUAUUAACUGUCACCGUGUCCAGAACCGCAGCGCUCAGUCAGCCAAUCAGCAUCAUUAGGGCUCAUUGAAGCAAUCCAGAAGCAAGGGAACUGUGAAAGGAAGGAAUGGAUGUCAGUCCAUCCAUCAGCUGCUCAGAGAACAGGAGAGAACCCCUUCAUCUCCCUUAGGACAAGACUGAAGGCACCGUAGGGACACACACAGCAGAUACAGCUGCUCUAAUCCAGCUCAGGAUCUCCCCGGAAAGACAUGGCUCACAGCUCUACAAUAAAGCAGGAAUCCCUCACCCCAUUUAAGGGCUUCCCCCCACACCCCAAAGGAAGCAGUCUCCAAGUUCAGAUACAGGCCUGAAAGCUACCAGUUCUUACAUGGGGUCAAGAUCCCCCCAAAAGAGGAGCUCAGAGCCCUGAAAUUCAGAAAGAACCACUUACCCCAUUCCAAGGACCAAUACUCACUCGCUCCCCCAAAGAAGCAGUUUCCAGGUACAGAUGGCUGCCAGCCCCAAAAUGCAGCUAUGAACCCCCAGCAAAGGGGUAGAUCACAGCCCUCCAAUACAGAAGAACUCACCCCCACACCCUCAAGGAAGCACACCCAGACUCAGAUGCUGCCCCCUUUGCUUCCCAGCCCUUAAAUGCGGUCAGGGAGGGGAGGAGCCCGUCUCAGCCCCACCCCACAGCCAAAUUGCCAUCAGCUGUGCUCGCAGGGCUGCACCUCCCCAGGUGAAUGGGAGCUGCUGAGUCAUGGCCUGAACCACUGAUUGAUUGGCUGAGGCAGAACUCAGUCAGCUGUGGGAGCACAGGUGGAGUCAAUCCAGAGUGUGAAUAGAAGGUGGAGCCUGGCUGCAGCUCUCCAAGAUAGCAUUUAAGGGCUGACUACCCCCAGGAAAAGGUCUAUAUUGUAACUUCGGGAUGUUUGUUUUCAGGAUUCUCUAUCAGAGCAUCUUAUAAGGCAAUAAGAGUUAAAGAGCCUACAUUGUGGAUGAGCGUGCUGCUUCCCUGAGCACUUCGGGUCCUCAAAAAAGAAAAAAGGAGCAACAUUCCUGGAGGAAACUGGCAAAAAAAGGUAGGCAUUUUGAUUACUUACAUACACAUGAAUAAUAUAUAUAUAUCAGGUUGACUGAUUGCAUCACUACAAAAUCAUGCAUUUUCUUUCAAAAAAAUCCACAUAUACCCGAAAAACAUCCAUUUUCUCUCUGAAAAUCCCCCAUUUACUCAACUAUCAUGCUUUUUCUCUUAGAAAAUACCCCAUCUACCCAAAUAACCAGCAUUCUGAUUUCAAAAUCCGAAAGCUAAACAAAAAAAUCAUCACUUUCUCAAUGAAAAUUCCACAUUAAAAGCAAAAAUCAUGCAUUGCAACUUCAAAAAUACUCCAUUUAACCCGAAUGUCAUCCAUUGGCUUUAUGAAAUCUCAAAUUAAACAGAAAAUUACGCAUUUUCACUUUGAGAAUCCCCCAAUUAAAGCAAAAUAAGGCAGUGCCUUCAGAAAUCCCCCAUUUAAGCGAAAAUCACGAGUUUUCUCUUCGCAAAUCCCCCAUCUAAGCCGAAAAUCACGCAUUUCUCUUCAGAAAUCCCACAUUUAAGCGAAAAUCACGCGCUUUUCUCUUCGCAAAUCCCCCAUUUAACCGAAAAUCACGCGUUUUCUCUUCGCAAAUCCCCCAUUUAACCGAAAAUCACGCGUUUUCUCUUCGCAAAUCCCCCAUUUAAGCCGAAAAUCACGCAUUUUCUCUUCGCAAAUCCCCCAUUUAACCGAAAAUCACGCGUUUUCUCUUCGCAAAUCCCCCAUUUAACCGAAAAUCACGCGUUUUCUCUUCCAAAUCCCCCAUUUAAGCGAAAAUCACGCGUUUUCUCUUCGAGAAUCCCCCAUUUAACGAAAAAUCACGCGUUUUCUCUUCGCAAAUCCCCCAUUUAAGCCGAAAAUCACGCGUUUUCUCUUCGCAAAUCCCCCAUUUAACCCGAAAAUCACGCGUUUUCUCUUCGCAAAUCCCCCAUUUAAGCGAAAAUCACGCGUUUUCUCUUCAGCAAAUCCCCCAUUUAACUCGAAAAUCACGCGUUUUCUCUUCGCAAAUCCCCCAUUUAAGCGAAAAUCACGCGUUUUCUCUUCGGAAAUCCCCAUUUAAUUCGAAAAUCACGCGUUUUCUCUUCGAGAAUCCCCCAUUUAAGCCCGAAAAUCACUGUGUUUUCUCUUCGAGAAUCCCUCAUUUAACCCGAAAUCACGCGUUUUCUCUUCAGAAAUCUCCCAUUUAACCCGAAAAUCACGCGUUUUCUCUUCGAAGAAUCCCCCAUUUAAGCGAAAAUCACGCGUUUUCUCUUCGCAAAUCCCCCAUUUAACUCGAAAAUGACGCGUUUUCUCUUUGCAAAUCCCCCAUUUAACCAAAAAUCACGCGUUUUCUCUUCGCAAAUCCCCCAUUUAACUCGAAAAUGACGCAUUUUCUCUUCACAAAUCCCCCAUAUAGGCGAAAAUCACGCGUUUUCUCUUCGCAAAUCCCCCAUUUAACUCGAAAAUCACGCAUUUUCUCUUCGCAAAUCCCCCAUUUAACCCGAAAAUCACGCAUUUUCUCUUCGGAAAUCCCCCAUUUAACCAAAAAUCAUGUGUUUUCUCUUCGAGAAUUCCCAUUUCUAACCCGAAAAUCACGCGUUUUCUCUUCGAGAAUCCCCCAUUUAACCCGAAAAUCACGCGUUUUCUCUUCCAAAUCCUUCAUUUAAGCGAAAAUCACGCGUUUUCUCUUCGCAAAUCCCCCAUUUAACCCGAAAAUCACGUGUUUUCUCUUCGCAAAUCCCCCAUUUAACCCGAAAAUCACGCGUUUUCUCUUUGCAAAUCCACCUUUUAACUCGAAAAUCACUCGUUUUCUCUUCAAGAAUCCCCCAUUGAAGCGAAAAUCACGCGUUUUCUCUUCGCAAAUCCCCCAUUUAACUCGAAAAUGACGCGUUUUCUCUUCGCAAAUCCCCCAUUUAACUCGAAAAUCACUCAGUAUCCUCCUCGCAAAUCCGCCAUUUAACCCGAAAAUCACGCAUUUUCUCUUCGGAAAUCCCCCAUUUAACCAAAAAUCAUGCGUUUUCUCUUCGCAAAUCCCCCAUUUAAGCGAAAAUCACGCGUUUUCUCUUCGCAAAUCCCCCAUUUAACCGAAAAUCACGCGUUUUCUCUUCGCAAAUCCCCCAUUUAAGCGAAAAUCACGCGUUUUUCUCUUCGCAAAUCCCCCAUUUAACCGAAAAUCACGCGUUUUCUCUUCGCAAAUCCCCCAUUUAAGCGAAAAUCACGCGUUUUCUCUUCGCAAAUCCCCCAUUUAAGCCGAAAAUCACGCGUUUUCUCUUCGCAAAUCCCCCAUUUAAGCGAAAAUCACGCGUUUUCUCUUCGCAAAUCCCCCAUUUAAGCCGAAAAUCACGCGUUUUCUCUUCGCAAAUCCCCCAUUUAACCCGAAAAUCACGCGUUUUCUCUUCGCAAAUCCCCCAUUUAAGCGAAAAUCACGCGUUUUCUCUUCGCAAAUCCCCCAUUUAAGCGAAAAUCACGCGUUUUCUCUUCGCAAAUCCCCCAUUUAAGCGAAAAUCACGCGUUUUCUCUUCGAGAAUCCCCCAUUUAACCCGAAAAUCACUCAUUUUCUCUUCAAGAAUCCCUCAUUUAACCCGAAUAUCAUACGCUUUCUCUUCAGAAAUCUUCCAUUUAACCCGAAAAUCACUCGUUUUCUCUUCAAGAAUCCCCCAUUUAAGCGAAAAUCACGCGUUUUCUCUUCGCAAAUCCCCCAUUUAACUCGAAAAUGACGCAUUUUCUCUUUGCAAAUCCCCCAUUUAACUCGAAAAUGACGCGUUUUCUCUUCGCAAAUCCCCCAUUUAACUCGAAAAUGACGUGUUUUCUCUUCGCAAAUCCCCCAUUUAACUCGAAAAUCACGCAUAUCCUCCUCGCAAAUCCGCCAUUUAACCCGAAAAUCAUGCGUUUUCUCUUGGAGAAUCUUCCAUUUAACCCGAAAAUCACUCAUAUCCUCUGCGCAAAUCCCCAUUUAACCCGAAAAUGACGCGUUUUCUCUUUGCAAAUCCCCCAUUUAACCGGAAAAUCACGCGUUUUCUCUUCGAGAUUCCCCCAUUUAACCCGAAAAUCACGCGUUUUCUAUUUGCAAAUCCACCUUUUAACUCGAAAAUCACGGUUUUCUCUUCGCAAAUCCCCCAUUUAAGCGAAAAUCACGCGUUUUCUCUUCGCUAAUACCCCAUUUAACUAAAAAUCACGUGUUUUCUCUUCGAGAAUCCCCCAUUUAACCCGAAAAUCACGCGUUUUCUCUUCAGAAAUCUUCCAUUUAACCCGAAAAUCACUCGUUUUCUCUUCAAGAAUCCCCCAUUUAAGCGAAAAUCACGCGUUUUCUCUUCGCAAAUCCCCCAUUUAACUCGAAAAUGACGCGUUUUCUCUUUGCAAAUCCCCCAUUUAAGCGAAAAUCACGCGUUUUCUCUUCGCAAAUCCCCCAUUUAACUCGAAAAUGACGCGUUUUCUCUUCGCAAAUCCCCCAUUUAACUCGAAAAUCACUCAGUAUCCUCCUCGCAAAUCCGCCAUUUAACCCGAAAAUCACGCAUUUUCUCUUCGAAAUCCCCCAUUUAACCGAAAAUCACGUGUUUUCUCUUCGAGAAUUCCCCAUUUUAACCGAAAAUCACGCGUUUUCUCUUCGAGAAUCCCCCAUUUAACCCGAAAAUCACGCGUUUUCUCUUCGCAAAUCCCUCAUUUAAGCGAAAAUCACGCGUUUUCUCUUCGCAAAUCCCCCAUUUAACCGAAAAUCACGUGUUUUCUCUUCGCAAAUCCCCCAUUUAACCCGAAAAUCACGCGUUUUCUCUUCGCAAAUCCCCCAUUUAACCAAAAAUCACGCGUUUUCUCUUCGAGAAUCCCCCAUUUAACCCGAAAAUCACGCGUUUUCUCUUCGCAAAUCCCCCAUUUAACCCGAAAAAUCACGCGUUUUCUCUUCGCAAAUCCCCCAUUUAAGCAAAAAUCACGCGUUUUUCUCGUCGCAAAUCCCCCAUUUAAGCAAAAAUCACGCGUUUUCUCUUCGCAAAUCCCCCAUUUAACCCGAAAAUCACACGUUUUCUCUUUGCAAAUCCCCCAUUUAAGCGAAAAUCACGCGUUUUCCUCUUCGCAUAUCUUCCCAUUUAAGCGAAAAUCACGCGUUUUCUCUUCGAGAAUCCCCCAUUUAAGCGAAAAUCACGCAGUUUUCUCUUCGCACAUCCCCCAUUUAACCCGAAAAUCACGCGUUUUCUCUUCGCAAAUCCCCCAUUUAACUGAAAAUCACGCGUUUUCUCUUCGCAAAUCCCCCAUUUAAGUGAAAAUCACGCGUUUUCUCUUCACAAAUCCCCCAUUUAAGCAAAAAUCACGCGUUUUCUCUUCGCAAAUCCCCCAUUUAACCCGAAAAUCACGCGUUUUCUCUUCGAGAAUCCCCCAUUUAAGUGAAAAUCACGCGUUUUCUCUUCGCAAAUCCCCCAUUUAACCGAAAAUCACGCGUUUUCUCUUCGAGAAUCCCCCAUUGAACCCGAAAAACACACGUUUUCUCUUCGCAAAUCCCCCAUUUAAGCAAAAAUCACGCGUUUUCUCUUCGCAAAUCCCCCAUUUAACCGAAAAUCACGCGUUUUCUCUUCGCAAAUCCCCCAUUUAAGCGAAAAUCAUGCGUUUUCUCUUCGCAAAUCCCCCAUUUAAGCCGAAAAUAACGCGUUUUCUCUUCGAGAAUCCCCCAUUUAACCCAAAAAUCAUGCGUUUUCUCUUCGAGAAUCCCCCAUUUAAGCGAAAAUCACGCGUUUUCUCUUCGCAAAUCCCCCAUUUAACCCGAAAAUCACGCGUUUCCUCUUUAGAAUCCCCACUUUAACUUAAAAAUCACGCAUUUUCUCUUCGCAAAUCCCCCAUUUAAGCAAAAAUCACGCGUUUUCUCUUCGAGAAUUUUCCAUUUAAGGGAAAAUCACGCAUUUUCUCUUUGCAAAUCUCCCAUUUAAGCGAAAAUCACGCGUUUUCUCUUCGCAAAUCCCCCAUUUAACCCGAAAAUCACGCGUUUUCUCUUCGCAAAUCCCCCAUUUAAGCGAAAAAUCACGCGUUUUCUCUUCGCAAAUCCCCCAUUUAAGCGAAAAUCACGCGUUUUCUCUUCGCAAAUCCCCCAUUUAAGCGAACAUCACGCGUUUUCUCUUCGCAAAUCCCCCAUUUAACCCGAAAAUCACGCGUUUUCUCUUCGCAAAUCCCCCAUUUAACCCGAAAAUCAAGCGUUUUCUCUUUGCAAAUCCCCCAUUUAACCCGAAAAUCACGCGUUUUCUCGUCGCAAAUCCCCCAUUUAAGCAAAAAUCACGCGUUUUCUCUUCGCAAAUCCCCCAUGUUACCCGAAAAUCACGCGUUUUCUCUUCGAGAAUCCCCCAUUUAAGUGAAAAUCACGCGUUUUCUCUUCGCAAAUCCCCCAUUUAAGCAAAAAUCACGCGUUUUCUCUUCGAGAAUCCCCCAUUGAACCCGAAAAACACACGUUUUCUCUUCGCAAAUCCCCCAUUUAAGCAAAAAUCACGUGUUUUCUCUUCGCAAAUCCCCCAUUUAACCGAAAAUCACGCGUUUUCUCUUCGCAAAUCCCCCAUUUAAGCGAAAAUCACGCGUUUUCUCUUCGCAAAUCCCCCAUUUAAGCGAAAAUCACGCGUUUUCUCUUCACAAAUCCCCCAUUUAAGCAAAAAUCACGCGUUUUCUCUUCGCAAAUCCCCCAUUUAAGCGAAAAUCACGCGUUUUCUCUUCGAGAAUCCCCCAUUUAACCGAAAAUCACACGUUUUCUCUUCGCAAAUCCCCCAUUUAAGCGAAAAUCACGCGUUUUCUCUUCGCAAAUCCCCCAUUUAAGCGAAAAUCACGCGUUUUCUCUUCGCAAAUCCCCCAUUUAAGCGAAAAUCAUGCGUUUUCUCUUCGCAAAUCCCCCAUUUAAGCCGAAAAUAACGCGUUUUCUCUUCGAGAAUCCCCCAUUUAACCCAAAAAUCAUGCGUUUUCUCUUCGAGAAUCCCCCAUUUAAGCGAAAAUCACGCGUUUUCUCUUCGCAAAUCCCCCAUUUAACCCGAAAAUCACGCGUUUCCUCUUUAGAAUCCCCACUUUAACUUAAAAAUCACGCAUUUUCUCUUCGCAAAUCCCCCAUUUAAGCAAAAAUCACGCGUUUUCUUUUCGCAAAUCCCCCAUUUAACCCGAAAAUCACGCGUUUUCUCUUCGAGAAUUUUCCAUUUAAGGGAAAAUCACGCAUUUUCUCUUUGCAAAUCUCCCAUUUAAGCGAAAAUCACACGUUUUCUCUUCGCAAAUCCCCCAUUUAAGCGAAAAUCACGCGUUUUCUCUUCGCAAAUCCCCCAUUUAAGCGAAAAAUCACGCGUAUUCUCUUCGCAAAUCCCCCAUUUUAGCGAAAAUCACGCGUUUUCUCUUCGCAAAUCCCCCAUUUAAGCGAACAUCACGCGUUUUCUCUUCGCAAAUCCCCCAUUUAACCCGAAAAUCACGCGUUUUCUCUUCGCAAAUCCCCCAUUUAACCCGAAAAUCAAGCGUUUUCUCUUCGCAAAUCCCCCAUUUAACCCGAAAAUCACGCGUUUUCUCUUCGCAAAUCCCCCAUUUAAGCAAAAAUCACGCGUUUUCUCGUCGCAAAUCCCCCAUUUAAGCAAAAAUCACGCGUUUUCUCUUCGCAAAUCCCCCAUGUUACCCGAAAAUCACGCGUUUUCUCUUCGAGAAUCCCCCAUUUAAGUGAAAAUCACGCGUUUUCUCUUCGCAAAUCCCCCAUUUAACCCGAAAAUCACGCGUUUUCUCUUCGAGAAUCCCCCAUUGAACCCGAAAAACACACGUUUUCUCUUCGCAAAUCCCCCAUUUAAGCAAAAAUCACGCGUUUUCUCUUCGCAAAUCCCCCAUUUAACCAAAAAUCACGCGUUUUCUCUUCGCAAAUCCCCCAUUUAAGCGAAAAUCAUGCGUUUUCUCUUCGCAAAUCCCCCAUUUAAGCCGAAAAUCACGCGUUUUCUCUUCGAGAAUCCCCCAUUUAACCCAAAAAUCAUGCGUUUUCUCUUCGAGAAUCCCCCAUUUAAGCGAAAAUCACGCGUUUUCUCUUCGCAAAUCCCCCAUUUAACCCGAAAAUCACGCGUUUCCUCUUUAGAAUCCCCACUUUAACUUAAAAAUCACGCAUUUUCUCUUCGCAAAUCCCCCAUUUAAGCAAAAAUCACGCGUUUUCUCUUCGCAAAUCCCCCAUUUAAGCAAAAAUCACGCGUUUUCUCUUCGAGAAUUUUCCAUUUAACCCGAAAAUCACGCAUUUUCUCUUUGCAAAUCUCCCAUUUAAGCGAAAAUCACACGUUUUCUCUUCGCAAAUCCCCCAUUUAAGCGAAAAAUCACGCGUAUUCUCUUCGCAAAUCCCCCAUUUUAGCGAAAAUCACGCGUUUUCUCUUCGCAAAUCCCCCAUUUAAGCGAACAUCACGCGUUUUCUCUUCGCAAAUCCCCCAUUUAAGCGAAAAUCACGCGUUUUCUCUUCGCAAAUCCCCCAUUUAACCCGAAAACCACGCGUUUUCUCUUCGCAAAUCCCCCAUUUAUGCAAAAAUCACGCGUUUUCUCUUCGAGAAUCCCCCAUUUAACCAAAAAUCACGCGUUUUCUCUUUGAGAAUCCCCCAUUUAACCCGAAAAUCACGCGUUUUCUCUUUGCAAAUCCCCCAUUUAAGCAAAAAUCACGCGUUUUCUCGUCGCAAAUCCCCCAUUUAACCCGAAAAUCACGCGUUUUCUCUUUGAGAAUCCCCCAUUUAAGCGAAAAUCACGCGUUUUCUCUUCGCAAAUCCCCCAUUUAAGCGAAAAUCACGCGUAUUCGCUUCGCAAAUCCCCCAUUUAACCCAAAAAUCACGCGUUUUCUCUUCGAGAAUCCCCCAUUUAACCCGAAAAUCACACGUUUUCUCUUCGAGAAUCCCCCAUUUAACCCGAAAAUCACGCGUUUUCUCUUCGCAAAUCCCCCAUUUAAGCAAAAAUCACGCAUUUUCUCUUCGCAAAUCCCCGAUUUAACCCAAAAAUCACGCGUUUUCUCUUCGCACAUCCCCCAUUUAAUCGAAAAUCACGCGUUUUCUCUUUGCAAAUCUCCCAUUUAAGCGAAAAUCACGCGUUUUCUCUUCGCAAAUCCCCCAUUUAACCCGAAAAUCACGCGUUUUCUCUUCGCAAAUCCCCCAUUUAAGCGAAAAAUCACGCGUUUUCUCUUCGCAAAUCCCCCAUUUAAGCGAAAAUCACGCGUUUUCUCUUCGCAAAUCCCCCAUUUAAGCGAACAUCACGCGUUUUCUCUUCGCAAAUCCCCCAUUUAACCCGAAAAUCACGCGUUUUCUCUUCGCAAAUCCCCCAUUUAACCCGAAAAUCACGCGUUUUCUCUUUGCAAAUCCCCCAUUUAACCCGAAAAUCACGCGUUUUCUCGUCGCAAAUCCCCCAUUUAAGCAAAAAUCACGCGUUUUCUCUUCGCAAAUCCCCCAUGUUACCCGAAAAUCACGCGUUUUCUCUUCGAGAAUCCCCCAUUUAAGUGAAAAUCACGCGUUUUCUCUUCGCAAAUCCCCCAUUUAACCCGAAAAUCACGCGUUUUCUCUUCGAGAAUCCCCCAUUGAACCCGAAAAACACACGUUUUCUCUUCGCAAAUCCCCCAUUUAAGCAAAAAUCACGCGUUUUCUCUUCGCAAAUCCCCCAUUUAACCGAAAAUCACGCGUUUUCUCUUCGCAAAUCCCCCAGUUAACCCGAAAAUCACGCGUUUUCUCUUCGCAAAUCCCCCAUUUAACCCGAAAAUCACGCGUUUUCUCUUCACAAAUCCCCCAUUUAAGCGAAAAUCACGCGUUUUCUCUUCGCAAAUCCCCCAUUUAACCCAAAAAUCACAUAUUUUCUCUUCGCAAAUCCCCCAUUUAACCCGAAAAUCACGCGUUUUCUCUUCGCAAAUCCCCCAUUUAAGCGAAAAUCACGCGUUUUCUCUUCACAAAUCCCCCAUUUAAGCAAAAAUCACGCGUUUUCUCUUCGCAAAUCCCCCAUUUAAGCGAAAAUCACGCGUUUUCUCUUCGAGAAUCCCCCAUUUAAGUGAAAAUCACGCGUUUUCUCUUCGCAAAUCCCCCAUUUAACCCGAAAAUCACGCGUUUUCUCUUCGAGAAUCCCCCAUUGAACCCGAAAAACACGCGUUUUCUCUUCGAGAAUCCCCCAUUUAAGCAAAAAUCACGCGUUUUCUCUUCGCAAAUCCCCCAUUUAACCGAAAAUCACGCGUUUUCUCUUCGCAAAUCCCCCAUUUAAGCGAAAAUCAUGCGUUUUCUCUUCGCAAAUCCCCCAUUUAAGCUGAAAAUAACGCGUUUUCUCUUCGAGAAUCCCCCAUUUAACCCAAAAAUCAUGCGUUUUCUCUUCGAGAAUCCCCCAUUUAAGCGAAAAUCACGCGUUUUCUCUUCGCAAAUCCCCCAUUUAACCCGAAAAUCACGCGUUUUCUCUUCGAGAAUUUUCCAUUUAAGGGAAAAUCACGCAUUUUCUCUUUGCAAAUCUCCCAUUUAAGCGAAAAUCACGCGUUUUCUCUUCGCAAAUCCCCCAUUUAACCCGAAAAUCACGCGUUUUCUCUUCGCAAAUCCCCCAUUUAAGCGAAAAAUCACGCGUUUUCUCUUCGCAAAUCCCCCAUUUAAGCGAAAAUCACGCGUUUUCUCUUCGCAAAUCCCCCAUUUAAGCGAACAUCACGCGUUUUCUCUUCGCAAAUCCCCCAUUUAACCCGAAAAUCACGCGUUUUCUCUUCGCAAAUCCCCCAUUUAACCCGAAAAUCAAGUGUUUUCUCUUUGCAAAUCCCCCAUUUAACCCGAAAAUCACGCGUUUUCUCUUCGCAAAUCCCCCAUUUAAACAAAAAUCACGCGUUUUCUCUUCGCAAAUCCCCCAUUUAAGCAAAAAUCACGCGUUUUCUCUUCACAAAUCCCCCAUGUUACCCGAAAAUCACGCGUUUUCUCUUCGAGAAUCCCCCAUUUAAGUGAAAAUCACGCGUUUUCUCUUCGCAAAUCCCCCAUUUAACCCGAAAAUCACGCGUUUUCUCUUCGAGAAUCCCCCAUUGAACCCGAAAAACACACGUUUUCUCUUCGCAAAUCCCCCAUUUAAGCAAAAAUCACGCGUUUUCUCUUCGCAAAUCCCCCAUUUAAGCGAAAAUCACGCGUUUUCUCUUCGCAAAUCCCCCAUUUAAGCGAAAAUCAUGCGUUUUCUCUUCGCAAAUCCCCCAUUUAUGCCGAAAAUAACGCGUUUUCUCUUCGAGAAUCCCCCAUUUAACCCAAAAAUCAUGCGUUUUCUCUUCGAGAAUCCCCCAUUUAAGCGAAAAUCACGCGUUUUCUCUUCGCAAAUCCCCCAUUUAACCCGAAAAUCACGCGUUUCCUCUUUAGAAUCCCCACUUUAACUUAAAAAUCACGCAUUUUCUCUUCGCAAAUCCCCCAUUUAAGCAAAAAUCACGCGUUUUCUCUUCGCAAAUCCCCCAUUUAACCCGAAAAUCACGCGUUUUCUCUUCGAGAAUUUUCCAUUUAAGGGAAAAUCACGCAUUUUCUCUUUGCAAAUCUCCCAUUUAAGCGAAAAUCACACGUUUUCUCUUCGCAAAUCCCCCAUUUAAGCGAAAAUCACGCGUUUUCUCUUCGCAAAUCCCCCAUUUAAGCGAAAAAUCACGCGUAUUCUCUUCGCAAAUCCCCCAUUUUAGCGAAAAUCACGCGUUUUCUCUUCGCAAAUCCCCCAUUUAAGCGAACAUCACGCGUUUUCUCUUCGCAAAUCCCCCAUUUAACCCGAAAAUCACGCGUUUUCUCUUCGCAAAUCCCCCAUUUAAGCAAAAAUCACGCGUUUUCUCGUCGCAAAUCCCCCAUUUAAGCAAAAAUCACGCGUUUUCUCUUCGCAAAUCCCCCAUGUUACCCGAAAAUCACGCGUUUUCUCUUCGAGAAUCCCCCAUUUAAGUGAAAAUCACGCGUUUUCUCUUCGCAAAUCCCCCAUUUAACCCGAAAAUCACGCGUUUUCUCUUCGAGAAUCCCCCAUUGAACCCGAAAAACACACGUUUUCUCUUCGCAAAUCCCCCAUUUAAGCAAAAAUCACGCGUUUUCUCUUCGCAAAUCCCCCAUUUAACCAAAAAUCACGCGUUUUCUCUUCGCAAAUCCCCCAUUUAAGCGAAAAUCAUGCGUUUUCUCUUCGCAAAUCCCCCAUUUAAGCCGAAAAUAACGCGUUUUCUCUUCGAGAAUCCCCCAUUUAACCCAAAAAUCAUGCGUUUUCUCUUCGAGAAUCCCCCAUUUAAGCGAAAAUCACGCGUUUUCUCUUCGCAAAUCCCCCAUUUAACCCAAAAAUCACGCGUUUCCUCUUUAGAAUCCCCACUUUAACUUAAAAAUCACGCAUUUUCUCUUCGCAAAUCCCCCAUUUAAGCAAAAAUCACGCGUUUUCUCUUCGCAAAUCCCCCAUUUAAGCAAAAAUCACGCGUUUUCUCUUCGAGAAUUUUCCAUUUAACCCGAAAAUCACGCAUUUUCUCUUUGCAAAUCUCCCAUUUAAGCGAAAAUCACACGUUUUCUCUUCGCAAAUCCCCCAUUUAAGCGAAAAAUCACGCGUUUUCUCUUCGCAAAUCCCCCAUUUUAGCGAAAAUCACGCGUUUUCUCUUCGCAAAUCCCCCAUUUAAGCGAACAUCACGCGUUUUCUCUUCGCAAAUCCCCGAUUUAACCCGAAAAUCACGCGUUUUCUCUUCGCAAAUCCCCCAUUUAACCCGAAAACCACGCGUUUUCUCUUCGCAAAUCCCCCAUUUAUGCAAAAAUCACGCGUUUUCUCUUCGAGAAUCCCCCAUUUAACCAAAAAUCACGCGUUUUCUCUUUGAGAAUCCCCCAUUUAACCCGAAAAUCACGCGUUUUCUCUUUGCAAAUCCCCCAUUUAAGCAAAAAUCACGCGUUUUCCUCGUCGCAAAUCCCCCAUUUAACCCGAAAAUCACGCGUUUUCUCUUUGAGAAUCCCCCAUUUAAGCGAAAAUCACGCGUUUUCUCUUCGCAAAUCCCCCAUUUAAGCGAAAAUCACGCGUAUUCGCUUCGCAAAUCCCCCAUUUAACCCAAAAAUCACGCGUUUUCUCUUCGAGAAUCCCCCAUUUAACCCGAAAAUCACACGUUUUCUCUUCGAGAAUCCCCCAUUGAACCCGAAAAACACACGUUUUCUCUUCGCAAAUCCCCCAUUUAAGCAAAAAUCACGCAUUUUCUCUUCGCAAAUCCCCGAUUUAACCCAAAAAUCACGCGUUUUCUCUUCGCACAUCCCCCAUUUAAUCGAAAAUCACGCGUUUUCUCUUCGCAAAUCCCCCAUUUAACCCGAAAAAUCACGCAUUUUCUAUUCGAGAAUCCUCCAUUUAAGUGAAAAUCAUGUGUUUUCUCUUCGAGAGUCCCCAUUUAAGCAAAAAUCACGCAUUUUCUCUUCGAGAAUCCUCCAUUUAAGCGAAAAUCACACAUUUUCUCUUCGAGAGUCCCCAUUUAAGCAAAAAUCACGCAUUUUCUCUUCGAGAAUCCCCCAUUUAAGCGAAAAUCACACAUUUUCUCUUCGAGAAUCCUCCAUUUAACCCGAAAUUCAUGCAUUUUCUCUUUGGAAAUCUUCCUUUUAACCUGAAAAUCACGCCUUUUCUCUUCAGGAAUCCCCCAUUUAUGCAAAAAUCACGCGUUUUCUCUUCGGGAUUCCCCCAUUUAUCCCGAAAAUCACGUGUUUUCUCUUCGUAAAUUCCCCAUUUAUCUUGAAAAUCACGCUUUUUCUCUUCCAGAAUCCCCCCUUUAACCGAAAAUGACGCAAUUUCUCUUCGUAAAUCCCCCAUUUAACUCAAAAAUCACGUGUUUUCUCUUCGCAAAUCCCCCAUUUAACCCAAAAAUCACGCGUUUUCUCUUCGAGAAUCCCCCAUUUUACUCUAAAAUCACGCGUUUUCUCUUCGCAAAUCCCCCAUUUAAGCGAAAAUCACGCGUUUUCUUAUUGAAAAUCCCCCAUUUUACCUGAAAAUCACAUUUUUUCUCUUCUAGAAUCCCCUUUUUAACCCGAAAAUCACGCGUUUUCUCUUCAAAAGUCUACCAUUUCACCUGGAAAUCAACCAUUUUCUCAUGGUUAGUCCCCCAUUUAAGCGAAAAUCACGCAUUUUUCUCUUCAAGAAUCUUGCAUUUAGCCCAAAAAUCUCACUUUUUUUUUUUCGGAAAUCCCCCAUUUAAGCGAAAAUCAUGCGUUUUCUCUUCGAAAAUCUUCCAUUUAACCCGAAAUUCUCGCAUUUUCUUUUUCAGUAUCCCCCAUUGAAUCUGCAAAGCAUGCAUUUUGUCUUCAAGACUCACCCAUUUUUCUGAAAAUCACACGUUUUUUCUUGGAAAAUGCUCCAUUUAUUCAGAAAAUCUCACAUUUUGUUUUCG
Gallus gallus (chicken) is the source of this 19734-nucleotide long non-coding RNA. Lineage: Eukaryota; Metazoa; Chordata; Aves; Galliformes; Phasianidae. The record is from Ensembl.